Molecule: unclassified non-coding RNA, 538 nt
Filed under: uncultured Aspergillus
Lineage: Eukaryota; Fungi; Ascomycota; Eurotiomycetes; Eurotiales; Aspergillaceae
Description: sequence contains 18S rRNA gene, ITS1, 5.8S rRNA gene, ITS2 and 28S rRNA gene
Rfam family: 5.8S ribosomal RNA (bases 157-310)
Source: RNAcentral
GGCCUCUGAUGCUGCUGCUCCGGGCGCCACCUCCCACCCGUGAAUACCUAACACUGUUGCUUCGGCGGGGAACCCCCUCGGGGGCGAGCCGCCGGGGACUACUGAACUUCAUGCCUGAGAGUGAUGCAGUCUGAGUCUGAAUAUAAAAUCAGUCAAAACUUUCAACAAUGGAUCUCUUGGUUCCGGCAUCGAUGAAGAACGCAGCGAACUGCGAUAAGUAAUGUGAAUUGCAGAAUUCAGUGGAUCAUCGAGUCUUUGAACGCACAUUGCGCCCCCUGGCAUUCCGGGGGGCAUGCCUGUCCGAGCGUCAUUGCUGCCCAUCAAGCCCGGCUUGUGUGUUGGGUCGUCGUCCCCCCCGGGGGACGGGCCCGAAAGGCAGCGGCGGCACCGUGUCCGGUCCUCGAGCGUAUGGGGCUUUGUCACCCGCUCGACUAGGGCCGGCCGGGCGCCAGCCGACGUCUCCAACCAUUUUUCUUCAGGUUGACCUCGGAUCAGGUAGGGAUACCCGCUGAACUUAAGCAUAUCAAUAAGCGGAGGA